GUGCCAGCAGCCGCGGUAAUACGAAGGACCCGAGCGUUAUCCGGAUUUAUUGGGUUUAAAGGGUGCGUAGGCGGACUUUCAAGUCAGUGGUGAAAGCCCAUCGCUCAACGAUGGAAUUGCCAUUGAUACUGUUGGUCUUGAGUACGGUUGAAGUGGGCGGAAUGUGUCAUGUAGCGGUGAAAUGCUUAGAUAUGACACAGAACACCUAUUGCGAAGGCAGCUCGCUAAGCCGUAACUGACGCUGAGGCACGAAAGUGUGGGUAGCAAACAGGAUUAGAAACCCUGGUAGUCC
RNAcentral lists this ribosomal RNA (292 nucleotides) under uncultured bacterium. RNAcentral's name for it is "partial 16S ribosomal RNA". It matches the Rfam family "Bacterial small subunit ribosomal RNA", at positions 505 to 796 of the family's 1533-position model. The record is from RNAcentral.